CCCCUGAUGGUCUAGUUGGAUAUGACGUCUGACUGUAAAUCAGAAGGUCGCUGGCUCGAUUCCGGCUCGGGGGA
RNAcentral lists this transfer RNA (74 nucleotides) under Aspergillus terreus. Its description in RNAcentral is "tRNA-Tyr". It matches the Rfam family "tRNA". Rfam says of the family: Transfer RNA (tRNA) molecules are approximately 80 nucleotides in length. Their secondary structure includes four short double-helical elements and three loops (D, anti-codon, and T loops). The record is from RNAcentral. Lineage: Eukaryota; Fungi; Ascomycota; Eurotiomycetes; Eurotiales; Aspergillaceae. RNAcentral also lists the same sequence under 4 other names.